GCUCCGAUGGCCUAGUGGUUAGAGCAUCCGCCUCGAAUGCGGGAGGUCGUGGGUAGGAACCCCGGCCGAUACA
Potamilus streckersoni is the source of this 73-nucleotide non-coding RNA. The record is from the annotation of a GenBank genome assembly. Lineage: Eukaryota; Metazoa; Mollusca; Bivalvia; Unionida; Unionidae.